RNAcentral lists this long non-coding RNA (781 nucleotides) under Homo sapiens (human). RNAcentral describes it as "non-protein coding lnc-MAGEA10-1:7". Lineage: Eukaryota; Metazoa; Chordata; Mammalia; Primates; Hominidae. The record is from RNAcentral.
AGAGAGAAGCGAGGUUCUCGUUCUGAGGGACAGGCUUGAGAUCGGCUGAAGAGAGCGGGCCCAGGCUCUGUGAGGAGGCAAGGUUCUCAGGGGACAGGCUGACCAGGAUCACCAGGAAGCUCCAGAGGAUCCCCAGGAGGCCCUAGAGGAGCACCAAAGGAGAAGAUCUGCCAGUGGGUCUCCAUUGCCCAGCUCCUGCCCACACUCCUGCCUGUUGCGGUGACCAGAGUCGUCAUGUCUCUUGAGCAGAAGAGUCAGCACUGCAAGCCUGAGGAAGGCCUUGACACCCAAGAAGAGGCCCUGGGCCUGGUGGGUGUGCAGGCUGCCACUACUGAGGAGCAGGAGGCUGUGUCCUCCUCCUCUCCUCUGGUCCCAGGCACCCUGGGGGAGGUGCCUGCUGCUGGGUCACCAGGUCCUCUCAAGAGUCCUCAGGGAGCCUCCGCCAUCCCCACUGCCAUCGAUUUCACUCUAUGGAGGCAAUCCAUUAAGGGCUCCAGCAACCAAGAAGAGGAGGGGCCAAGCACCUCCCCUGACCCAGAGUCUGUGUUCCGAGCAGCACUCAGUAAGAAGGUGGCUGACUUGAUUCAUUUUCUGCUCCUCAAGUAUUAAGUCAAGGAGCCGGUCACAAAGGCAGAAAUGCUGGAGAGAGUCAUCAAAAAUUACAAGCGCUGCUUUCCUGUGAUCUUCGGCAAAGCCUCCGAGUCCUUGCAGCUGGUCUUUGGCAUUGACGUGAAGGAAGCGGACCCCACCAGCAACACCUACACCCUUGUCACCUGCCUGG